RNAcentral lists this ribosomal RNA (257 nucleotides) under uncultured Glomus. RNAcentral describes it as "partial 18S ribosomal RNA". It matches the Rfam family "Eukaryotic small subunit ribosomal RNA", at positions 624 to 886 of the family's 1831-position model. The record is from RNAcentral. Lineage: Eukaryota; Fungi; Glomeromycota; Glomeromycetes; Glomerales; Glomeraceae.
AAGCUCGUAGUUGAAUUUCGGGUUAGUAGGUUGGUCAUGCCUCUGGUAUGUACUGGUCUCACUGAUUCCUCCUUCCUGAUGAACCGUAAUGCCAUUAAUUUGGUGUUGCGGGGAAUUUGGACUGCUACUUUGAAAAAAUUAGAGUGUUUAAAGCAAGCUAACGCUUGAAUACAUUAGCAUGGAAUAAUGAAAUAGGACGUUCGAUCCUAUUUUGUUGGUUUCUAGGAUUGACGUAAUGAUUAAUAGGGAUAGUUGGG